Molecule: ribosomal RNA, 254 nt
Filed under: uncultured bacterium
Lineage: Bacteria
Description: partial 16S ribosomal RNA
Rfam family: Bacterial small subunit ribosomal RNA
Source: RNAcentral
GACAGAGGUGCCAAGCGUUAGGCGGAAUCACUGGGCUUAAAGCGUGUGUAGGCGGAAUGGUAAGUACCUUGUGGAAAUCCCACGGCUCAACCGUGGAACUGCUCGGUAUACUGGAUGUCUUGAGCCACUUAGGGGCUACCGGAACAAAUGGUGGAGCGGUGAAAUGCGUAGAUAUCAUUUGGAACGCCAAUGGUGAAAACAGGUAGCUGGGAGUGUGCUGACACUGAGACACGAAAGCCAGGGGAGCGAACGGG